GGUGAUUGGAAACUCUGCCUCCUCUUUCUGAUUGGUGUACACACCGCAUCCCGUGUGUUGAGAGGCUCAGCGAUCCUGGAGAAGUCUGGCACAAAUCGAUGGUACCACCCAGCCAAUCCUAGGAAACGCUGGACUUCUUUAAGGUUGCGUGGAACAGGAUACGUGCGAAUUGCUUCCACCUUACUGGGAUCAGCGGUAAUUCCCUGUCCGUUCACUACAUGACCAAGGAAGUUGAUCUCCUGUCGACAAAACUUGCAUUUUUUUAGGUUUAAUGUCAACCCAGCUGUUUGCAACCGUUGAAGGAUGCUCUCAAUGUCAAGGAAAUGCUGGGUCAUAGAUGGUGGGAGCCGAUAGGGCCGUUGUUUACUGGGUACGGGAUGACGAGUGUACAGACAGUGCUGAAGAACCGUCGUACGUCCGGGUCGACGAGUACACACCGUCUGAUAGGACUCCAAGAGGUGGUGUAGCUGAACUUCUUCAUUGUGGGGUAAAUUUGCUUCUUUUACAGCAUUGUCAAUUAAUACUUGAUCCUCUGUAGCGGUAGGGUCUGCAUCUCGAGAUGCCCGUAGAGGUUGUGGAGGAGGAACAGAACUUAGUAACGAAAGAUUUUGUUGGGAACUCCUAGAUUUCUUUGGUUUUCGUUGGCAUGGAUCUCUACUGGCAGGUAUACUUGCUUGUCC
Cyprinus carpio carpio is the source of this 680-nucleotide long non-coding RNA. NCBI's taxonomy places the organism in Eukaryota, Metazoa, Chordata, Actinopteri, Cypriniformes, Cyprinidae. The record is from Ensembl.